UCGGAUGCGUGUUAGGGUGUCGGAUGCGUGUUAGGUGUCGGAUGCGUGUUAGGGUGUCGGAUGCGUGUUAGGGUGUCGGAUGCGUGUUAGGGUGUCGGAUGCGUGUCAUGGG
Homarus americanus (American lobster) is the source of this 112-nucleotide long non-coding RNA. RefSeq lists it as uncharacterized. The transcript has 3 exons. NCBI's taxonomy places the organism in Eukaryota, Metazoa, Arthropoda, Malacostraca, Decapoda, Nephropidae. The record is from RefSeq and is a predicted model, not a curated record.